RNAcentral lists this ribosomal RNA (433 nucleotides) under uncultured bacterium. RNAcentral's name for it is "partial 16S ribosomal RNA". It matches the Rfam family "Bacterial small subunit ribosomal RNA", at positions 29 to 507 of the family's 1533-position model. The record is from RNAcentral.
AACGAACGCUGGCGGCAUGCCUAACACAUGCGAGUCGAACGAGACCUUCGGGUCUAGUGGCGCACGGGUGCGUAACGCGUGGGAACCUGCCCUUAGGUUCGGAAUAACUCCCCGAAAGGGGUGCUAAUACCGGAUAAUGUCUUCGGACCAAAGAUUUAUCGCCUUUGGAUGGGCCCGCGUUGGAUUAGCUAGUUGGUAGGGUAAAAGCCUACCAAGGCGACGAUCCAUAGCUGGUCUGAGAGGAUGAUCAGCCACACUGGGACUGAGACACGGCCCAGACUCCUACGGGAUGCAGCAGUGGGGAAUAUUGGACAAUGGGCGAAAGCCUGAUCCAGCAAUGCCGCGUGAGUGAUGAAGGCCUUAGGGUUGUAAAGCUCUUUUACCCGGGAUGAUAAUGACAGUACCGGGAGAAUAAGCGCCGGCUAACUCCGUG